Molecule: ribosomal RNA, 262 nt
Filed under: uncultured bacterium
Lineage: Bacteria
Description: partial 16S ribosomal RNA
Rfam family: Bacterial small subunit ribosomal RNA
Source: RNAcentral
CAGCCGCGGUAAUACGGAGGGAGCUAGCGUUGUUCGGAAAUACUGGGCGUAAAGCGCACGUAGGCGGCACUGCAAGUCAGGGGUGAAAUCCUGGAGCUCAACUCCAGAACUGCCUUUGAUACUGGAGAUCUUCGAGUCCGGGAGAGGUGGGUGGAACUGCGAGUGUAGAGGUGAAAUUCGUAGAUAUUCGCAAGAACACCAGUGGCGAAGGCGGCUCACUGGCCCGGUACUGACACUGAGGUGCGAAAGCGUGGGGAGCAAA